RNAcentral lists this long non-coding RNA (695 nucleotides) under Pogona vitticeps (central bearded dragon). Its description in RNAcentral is "lncRNA (ENSPVIG00000011918.1)". The record is from RNAcentral. Lineage: Eukaryota; Metazoa; Chordata; Lepidosauria; Squamata; Agamidae.
UAUUAUGAUAGUCAAACCUCCAUAACUUUAAGCUCACUUCUUACGUGUCUUUUGUUAUGUGAUUUUCACAGUUUCUUGUAAUUGACAAAAAUCAGUAGGCUUAUAUUCAAGCCUUUUUCUUGCAAUUGUCAAGUUAUAAAACUUUCUACCUUUGCUUUGCUUUGCUUUUUGGUGUACUUUUCUGUAAUUUUGUAUGCAUUUAUAUUACAUUCUGCAUUCUUUAUAUUAUGUAGAAUGCCUAAUUUGUUAAAUAAGAAAGUUGGCAAUAUAUAUUCUUGUUCUUUAAAAAAGAACAAAAUCAGUAAACCAUGUAACGAUGUUAAGUGCAAUGUGCCAUUUGUAAUCUUUGCUAAAUGUGUGUGUGUUUGAUGUUAUGUUGCCUUAUUAGUUUUCUUUAUGAGGAAAAAAAUUGUCUUGCCUGUUUGUGGAUUUGUUUGUCCGUAAUCAUCUUCCUUGACAUCAUCCCGAACACUUCACAGAGAAAAGUUGGCAUUUACACCAUGUUUUCUUAUGAUUAUUAUCUUUCAAGUGCCGGAAGUUCCAAAGACAAUGAUCUCCGAAGAAAAAGUAUCUAUUGCUGUUCCAAAACCAAAACCACCUCCUCCCACAAAAGCUGUAGAAGAGCGAUGGGGAUAUGCAGAGGAAGUGUCUGUUACUCUUCAUACAGAGGAGGAAGUCUCUUAUACAGUCCCUGA